Molecule: long non-coding RNA, 1293 nt
Organism: Cercocebus atys (sooty mangabey)
Lineage: Eukaryota; Metazoa; Chordata; Mammalia; Primates; Cercopithecidae
Exons: 3
Source: RefSeq, a predicted model, not a curated record
GCCCCUGCCUCCUGCCUUUCCCUGUGCAUGCUCUGAGCCCGAGAGGACGACUAAGAGAGCGUGACAGAGGGGCUUCGGGAUGCCGCCUCCGUGGGCAGCGGCUCUGCAGGGCACACAGACCCACGUUUCUACCCCAUGUGAGAAGUCAUAUUGCCUUGGGGCCGCCAUGCUGUGAGGAAUCCCAAGCUAACCACAUAGAAAGGUGAUGUGGAGGACCACCAAGGCACUAAGCAGGAGCCUGGCAUGAGCAGAAGUUCUGAACCCACUGGGCUGUGCAGUGGAGGAGAAGGUGGGCUUUCACACAGAGCCUGGCCAGCUCGGAGCAGGGGCAGAGGGAGACUCAGGCUCUUCCUUCCAGGGACUGCAGACAGCUUGGCAGAGGCCAGGCAGGCCCAGAUGGGACGAGAUCUGGCUGCCAGGCUGAGGAGUUUGGACUUGGAAAUUUAAAAGCCCUUCAGGAAGCCUCUGCAAAAGACUGGCCUGUCAUUGAUAAUUAAAAGAAAAAAAAUCGACCACAAUGCAAGGCAAGGAGUGGCCUUUGGUAGAGGCCGGGCAGGAUCCAGGGGGGUGUGGCCGGGCUCAGGCAUGGGCAGGCCCAGAUCCUGUGCAUCCUGCUGUCGGUGCCUCCCACCUCUUUCCCCUUGACACCCGCCUCACCCUGGUCGUUUCCAAAGAAGGUCCAAGACCCCCACCGUGGCCCUGCCCUGACAGGUGGAGGAGCUCUGAGCCUCCUGUGGGAGCUAGAGCUUAGCUUGGGCCAAGGAACCUGCACCCGUGGAGGAUAGUGGGCAAGCCGCUCUGCCCUAAGCGGGGAGGCUAUUUUGGGUUCAGAACCAGGCUGGAUGAAUUCUGUCCUUCUGCCGGCAGCCCUGGGAGCUCCAUCUGCUCCAGGGAACAGGUUGAGAGCUUCAUCAGAUGGUCCUUAAAACCCAGGCGCUCUGCGGAGGCCUGCCUGGGCCUGAGCCACUUCUGACCACGUCCUGAGGAGAGAGGCCAUUUCUUUUACUGUCUCCUGUCUCUGAAGAGAAGGAGGAAGUAAAAGUUGAAACACAACAGGAAUGAAGUCAGUGGCAAAACCAGCCGGUGCCACUGAUGACCAGGCCUGAGGUUAAAAGAUUAACCCCCACUCUAACCACAAGUGCUCUCAAUCUAUCAUGACCCUUUCACGUGCAACCCCUUAGAGUUGUAAGCCCUUAAAAGGGCCAGGAACGCUGCCUUCGGGUGGGGGAGCUUGGUUCUUGAGAUGCGAGUCUGCUGGAGCUCCCGGCCAAAUAAAGCCAAAUCCUUCCUUAA